This 368-nucleotide ribosomal RNA is filed under the name uncultured bacterium. RNAcentral describes it as "bacterial SSU rRNA". It matches the Rfam family "Bacterial small subunit ribosomal RNA", at positions 28 to 397 of the family's 1533-position model. The record is from RNAcentral.
GACGAACGCUGGCGGCGUGCUUAACACAUGCAAGUCGAGCGGUAAGGCCCUUUCGGGGGUACACGAGCGGCGAACGGGUGAGUAACACGUGGGUGACCUGCCCUCAGCUCUGGGAUAAGCCUGGGAAACCGGGUCUAAUACCGGAUAUGACUCCAUGACGCAUGUUGUGGGGUGGAAAGCCUUGUGCGGCUGAGGAUGGGCCCGCGGCCUAUCAGCUUGUUGGUGGGGUGANGGCCUACCAAGGCGACGACGGGUAGCCGGCCUGAGAGGGCGACCGGCCACACUGGGACUGAGACACGGCCCAGACUCCUACGGGAGGCAGCAGUGGGGAAUCUUGCGCAAUGGGCGAAAGCCUGACGCAGCGACGC